Molecule: ribosomal RNA, 203 nt
Filed under: Salmonella enterica
Lineage: Bacteria; Pseudomonadati; Pseudomonadota; Gammaproteobacteria; Enterobacterales; Enterobacteriaceae
Also listed under: 1 other name
Description: partial 16S ribosomal RNA
Rfam family: Bacterial small subunit ribosomal RNA
Source: RNAcentral
AAAUUGAAGAGUUUGAUCAUGGCUCAGAUUGAACGCUGGCGGCAGGCCUAACACAUGCAAGUCGAACGGUAACAGGAAGCAGCUUGCUGCUUCGCUGACAAGUGGCGGACGGGUGAGUAAUGUCUGGGAAACUGCCUGAUGGAGGGGGAUAACUACUGGAAACGGUGGCUAAUACCGCAUGACGUCGCAAGACCAAAGAGGGG